RNAcentral lists this long non-coding RNA (1142 nucleotides) under Marmota monax (woodchuck). The record is from RNAcentral. Lineage: Eukaryota; Metazoa; Chordata; Mammalia; Rodentia; Sciuridae.
UCGGUUCUGAAACAUGCCUGGGAACUACACACAUGUGAACUUCCUGGGGCCUGUUAUUCUCGUAUUUAACAGGGAGCGAGAUUUUAAGCACUUGACAGACUGCUUUUAUUCUAUCUACCUCUCUGUCCACUCUGCUUUGCCAGAUCAAUUCAUCAUUCUCCAUGAGGACUAAGAACAUCAGUGUCCACUCCCUUUAUGGAGAUGACACCAAGAGACACCAAGGCAAUGAGGAAUUUGCCUGGAAACAAAGAAAAUGUGCGUAUGGACCACAGUGAGAACUCAGGUUUUCGGAACUGCAGUUCUUUCCUCAGCUGGCUGGUGGGCUACCUCUUAUUUACAUUUUCUUUGCUGUUUUUACAUACUUGUAAAUACCUUCACAGGAGCUGGCAGAGGGACAGAGGUUCUCCUUAUACUCCUGGCUUGUGAACUGGGACAGUCACUUGGGCACUCUGAACCACUGUUUUUCUUGAGUGGAGAAGGAGGUGACAUUUUUCAUGUCAUUUUUGCUCUGGCCAUUCAUGUGUGUAAACCCAUGGGACUUUGACAAACCCAAGCCCAACAUGCUCUGACGCACAUGGGAUCACAAAGCCAGGCAGAAAAAGGAUCAGUAGAUGCCUGACUGUUAUUUUGGGAGCAUGUGCCAUCCAGAAAAAGUUAGGAAGCUAAGUGGCUCCCAGAUCUUGCCAUCAUAUGAGAGUAUCACAGCUGCUAAGUUUGGGCUCAGGUCCAGGUUAGGAGUGUCUGGCCCACGGUCCACACUUGACUUAAAUUAGUCAGGGCAAAAUAUCUGGAUCAGCACCAGGACACCCAGAUAUUUGUCCCAAGGCUAUGGAAAAUAUGUGCACCUUUCUUGCCCUAAAAGACUGCUUUAUUUUACAUAGAUAACUAUAUAUAUUUGUGCAUGUAUGUGUGUGUGUGGGGCAAGGAUUUCUCUCUCUCUCUCUCUCUCUCUCUCUCUCUCUCUCUCACACACACACACACACACACACACACACACAGAGGCACAGAUUUUAUGGUACCCACAGGCCUUUCAGAUAAGAGGCUCUCAAUUGAUCAAACAAAAGCCAGUUCCAUACAGUGACAGACAUUUUGUUGACUAGGUUAGCAGGAUGUGGAAAUUUUGUUUUAGUUUUUUUUUUUUU